CGGCGGACGGGUGAGUAACGCGUGGGUAACCUGCCUUACACAGGGGGAUAACAGUUAGAAAUGACUGCUAAUACCGCAUAAGACCACAGUACUGCAUGGUACAGUGGUAAAAACUGAGGUGGUGUAAGAUGGACCCGCGUCUGAUUAGGUAGUUGGUGGGGUAACGGCCCACCAAGCCGACGAUCAGUAGCCGGCCUGAGAGGGUGGACGGCCACAUUGGGACUGAGACACGGCCCAGACUCCUACGGAAGGCAGCAG
RNAcentral lists this ribosomal RNA (258 nucleotides) under uncultured bacterium. Its description in RNAcentral is "partial 16S ribosomal RNA". It matches the Rfam family "Bacterial small subunit ribosomal RNA", at positions 96 to 354 of the family's 1533-position model. The record is from RNAcentral.